AGCGAACGCUGGCGGCAUGCCUAACACAUGCAAGUCGCACGGGGGGCUUCGGCCUCCCCGUGGCGGACGGGUGAGGAACGCGUAGGGACCUGUCGAGGGGUGGGGGAUAACCGCGGGAAACUGCGGCUAAUACCGCAUGACGCCCCGGCGUGACAGCCGGGGCCCAAGGCGAAGGCCGCCCGCCGAGGGGCCUGCGUCCGAUUAGCUGGUUGGCGGGGUAGCGGCCCACCAAGGCGUCGAUCGGUAGCUGGUCUGAGAGGGUGAUCAGCCACGCCGGGACUGAGACACGGCCCGGACUCCUACGGGAGGGAGGAGUGGGGAAUAUUGGACGAUGGGCGCAAGCGUGAUACAGCAGUGCCGGGGGGGUGAAGAAGGUCUUCGGAUUGUAAAGCCCUUUGGGCGGGGACGAUGGUGACGGUAACCGCAGAAGAAGCCCCGGCUAACUUCGUG
Molecule: ribosomal RNA, 450 nt
Filed under: uncultured bacterium
Lineage: Bacteria
Description: partial 16S ribosomal RNA
Rfam family: Bacterial small subunit ribosomal RNA
Source: RNAcentral